UACAGAGGUCCCAAGCGUUGUUCGGAUUCACUGGGCGUAAAGGGUGCGUAGGUGGUGAGGUAAGUCGGAUGUGAAAUCUCCGAGCUCAACUCGGAAAUGGCAUUGGAAACUACCUUGCUCGAGGGUUGGAGGGGGGACUGGAAUGCUUGGUGUAGCAGUGAAAUGCGUAGAUAUCAAGCGGAACACCAGUGGCGAAGGCGAGUCCCUGGACAGCUCCUGACACUGAGGCACGAAAGCUAGGGGAGCAAACAGG
Molecule: ribosomal RNA, 253 nt
Filed under: uncultured bacterium
Lineage: Bacteria
Description: partial 16S ribosomal RNA
Rfam family: Bacterial small subunit ribosomal RNA
Source: RNAcentral